CCAAAAUUAUACUAUUUAUAAAUACUGAAAAAAGGGACAAAACCUAAUACAGUACUUCUGCAACAGUUUAAAGUAAACAGAAACUCUUAGCAAGUCAAAACACAUCAAAGAGACAAAUUCUCUUCCCUUUCCCUGUACGCAAUUCGCGCCCUUUUGCAUUCCUUUCCUCUUAGUGCUCUCUCUGUCUCUGUCUAUGCAGCCCUCUAAAGAUUGAGUCUUUCUGUGUUCAAUGAAAUGGAUUAUAUACCUAUAGCUAGAAGGACUCGGAGUAGAGAAGCCCUCAUGUAUAGGAAAUUACAUGAAGAGCUGAAGAGAAAGAACCAUGACAAGAAACUUAAUGCCUCUGAGUCCACGAGUUUUAGUGGGUUCAGUGAUGUUAAAGGGGAGAGCUUUAGUGGGUCGUGUCAAAAGGAUAAUGUGAGUGAAAGUUUGGAGCCUGAUGAUAAUUAUGGCGUACUUAAGAGGAAGAAGUCUGGUGGGUUGCGUCAUAAGGAUAAUGGGAGUGAGAAUUUAGGGCGUGGCGAUUAUGGUGUAUCGAAGGGGAGGAGCUCCAGUGGGUCAUGUCAGAAGGAUAAUGGGAGUGAAAAUUUAGGGCUUGGUGAUUAUGGUGUAGCUAAGGGGAAGAGUUCUAGUGGGUCAUGUCAAAGGGAUGAUGAAAGUGAUAAUUUGGGGCAUGGCGAUGAUGUCUUAGAGAAGAGUGAUUUGGGUCCAUAUGAUAGUGUAGAUAAGUUUGAUAUGGGCGCAUCUAAUUAUGAAAUUUUGGGUUUUGAGUGUGUGGAUAAUGAUGAUUCUGAGGAGAGAGGUUGGAGGGAAAGUGGGCGAGUGGAGGUGGAAGAAAGUUCUAGUAGGUCCAAAUCUAAUGGUGAGAAUGGUACAGAUGUAGUAACCAUUUCAGAUAGUGAUUCAACUUCUUCUAGUGGAGAGAGUGUAGGGGAUAGUGAUGAUGAGGUUGAAAUUGAGACUUCUUCAAGUGGAGAUGAUGAUGAUUGUGUAGAGGAAACGCCUGAUGAUUCUUCUGAUUUUGAGGUAGUUAGUAGUGAGAGCGAAGAGGAGGACCAAAGUAAUCAGGAGGAAGAACACCAGGUUUCAGCAAGAGAAACUGGUAGCAGGGGAAAAGGGGAUAAGGUUGAGCUAAGAUUGAAAAGGAAGAAGUGGUCUGGUAGUAGUAAUGGCAAGGAUGAUGCUGUUGAUGGUGGCCAAAAGCGUGAUUAUGUUUCAAAACGCAUAAGAUCACAAAAUAAUUUAGAAUCCAGCAAGAAGAGAAGUGGGCUUGGAACCAUUAACCAUCCUAUUUGUCUAGAUAAGGGGGAUCUUGAAGACUUUGAUCAUGGUGGUGAUUAUUGUAAUGGUGUUGUUGAUGGUGAAACUUUUGAGAUUGAGGAAAUAGAUGAUGAGGAGCAUGUGCAGGAUUUUUGUGGUGGACAGCCCACUAGAAAAAGAAUCCGAGCCUAUGAAGAUCAUGAAGUUGUGAAGAUUCUUGCAAAUUCCAUAUUGGACAAGACAGAAAUGCCUUGUGAAGAAAUUGAUGAGCCUGUUAUUGAGCCAAGUCUUCCACUGAAAUUCACAUUUGGAACUGAAGAACAAGUUCUAGUGGAGAAAUCAGAAGAGGAGAAAGAAUUGGAGAAACUAUGGGCUGAAAUGAGCCUUGCUCUUUGUGCAGAUGAUGCUACGGAUGAUGCAGUGCAGGCUGAAAAUACGGCUGAUGUAACUCUUGAGGAUGAACUUGAUACAGAUGCCUUAUGCCAACAAGGGAAACAUCAAUAUAUUCUUGAUGAAGAGAUUGGAAUCAAAUGCAAAUUUUGCUCUUUUGUAAAUGUGGAGAUCAAAUAUUGUACAGCACCUUUUGGUAGGCAUACUUCAGGAUAUUCAGAAAGGAGAGACUACUAUGCAGUGCACCUUAAUGUCUUUGAUGAGCUUCAUGAUCAAGACUGUGGUCGUGACUCACAGCCUGGCUGUGAUCCCUUCCCUGCUCAUGCACGAGGCACAGUGUGGAACAUCAUUCCUGGUAUUGGAAAGGACCUGCACGAACAUCAACGUGAAGGUUUUGAAUUUCUGUGGAAAAACAUAGCUGGAGGGAUUUACCUUGACAAGUUGAAAGAGCCAACCAGUUUUGAUAGUGGGAGUGGUGGAUGUAUCAUAUCACAUGCUCCUGGGACAGGAAAAACUCGCCUGGCAAUAGUAUUUCUUCAGACACACAUGAAAUUGUACCCAACAUGUAGACCGGUGAUUAUUGCCCCUUCGAGCAUGCUGCUUUCCUGGGAAGCAGAAUUCAAGAAAUGGAAAGUUGAUAUUCCUUUUCACAAUCUGAACACACCAAAGGUCUCUGGAGAGGAAAAUGUGGCUGCUUUGAAGCUGUUUAAAUACAGACAGCAUAGUAUAAACUCUGUUCGGAUGUUGAAGUUAUAUUCCUGGAAAAAUGAUAGGAGUAUCCUUGGCAUCAGUUAUAAACUUUUUGAAGAGCUUGUUGGACAAGACAAGAAGAGGAGCACAAUGCAACAGACAAAUGUAGAUGGCAUGGUGCGGAAGAUUCUUCUUGAGCUUCCUGGUCUUUUGGUCCUUGAUGAAGGACACACACCUCGCAAUGACCAGAGUCUUAUAUGGAAGGCUCUGUCAAAAGUCCGAACAGAAAAGCGCAUUAUUCUCUCAGGAACCCCUUUUCAGAAUAAUUUUGAUGAGCUUUAUAAUACACUAUGCUUGGCGAGACCUAAAUUUGCAGACAGGAUGUCAAGCAAAUUCAAUGUUUUUUUCGAAAGAAAGCAUGGUCGCAAGGUAAAUGGGGCAAGAAGAAAUUGGACUUCUCUCACAAGUCCACUUGGCAGAGUUACCGAUGAUAGACUGAAAGCUGAAAGAUUGGAAGAGGUUAGAGCCAUGAUAAGGCCUUUUGUGCAUGUACACAAGGGUAAUAUUCUACAACAAAGACUUCCAGGCUUGAGAGAUGCUAUGAUCAUUUUGCGGCCACCUCAUUUGCAGAAGAGCCUACUUGAUAAAAUUGAACAAAAAGAGAACCUACGGACUAGUUUCGAUUUGGAAUAUUUGGUGUCUUUGGUUUCUGUGCAUCCUUCUCUUUUGCUGAAGCAUUCAUUCGAUUUGGAAGAGUUUGGUGGGCGGGGCAUGUUAGAAAAGCUUAGGUUGAAUCCAGAUGUAGGGGUCAAAACAAAAUUUCUUAUCGAACUUAUUCGGCUUAGUGGAGCCAUAAGUGAGAAAGUGUUGGUAUUUAGUCAGUAUCUUCACCCAUUGACAUUUAUAUGCAAGCUUCUUGAAUCUCGAUUCAACUGGAUUGAAGGGAAAGAGAUCUUACGCAUGACUGGAAAGGUUGAUACGGUUCAGCGCCAAUCUCUUAUUAUGGAUUUCAACAGCAGAAACAGUCAAGCAAAAGUGAUGCUUGCAUCAACAAAGGCUUGUUCUGAAGGGAUAAAUCUUGUUGGUGCUUCGAGAGUUGUGUUGCUUGAUGUGGUUUGGAAUCCUGCAGUAGAAAGGCAAGCAAUAAGCCGUGCAUAUAGGCUUGGGCAGGAGAAAGUUGUGCACAUUUAUCGUCUCGUUAUUUCAGGAACAAUGGAAGAAGAGAAAUACUGUCGGCAAGCUGAGAAGGAGCGGUUAUCAGAAUUGGUGUUUUAUUCUUCAGAAAGAGCUCAUAAUCGAGAGAAAAUUUCAUACGAUGUGUCAGAAGAUGCAAAGGAUGCAAUUUUGGAAGAGAUGAUUAACAGAAACAAACUCAAAGACAUGUUUAAGAGGAUAAUAUACCAACCUAAAGAUUCUAAUUUGGUUGAUUCUUUUGGCUUGGUCAAUCUGUAGCAAACAUUCUGGUGAAAAUUUUGCCACAAUAUUUUGAUCUCUUAGAAGCUGAAACUGUUUUCCUUUCUGGUUAAAAAAAAAAAAAAUGUAUAGUGGCUUCUGAAGUUUUGGCCAAUAUUCAUGUAUAUGCAGAUUAGAAAAGUAUGAAUAUACUGCAACAUGGUAAGUUCCCUUACUCUGAUUUUAGUGAAUUGUUGAGUUCUUGGCCUGGGCAACAGUGAACUUGUCAAAUAACUUAAAUGUUGAUAUCUGUUUACUGAAUAUUGUUGCUUUUGUGCUCUAUGUCUAUUUGACUGUGUAAAACAUAGUUUAAGCCUUCCCCAGUGUUCAUGUAUGGUAUGAUUGUUU
Molecule: unclassified non-coding RNA, 4140 nt
Filed under: Hevea brasiliensis (rubber tree)
Lineage: Eukaryota; Viridiplantae; Streptophyta; Magnoliopsida; Malpighiales; Euphorbiaceae
Source: RNAcentral